RNAcentral lists this ribosomal RNA (261 nucleotides) under uncultured archaeon. RNAcentral describes it as "partial 16S ribosomal RNA". It matches the Rfam family "Archaeal small subunit ribosomal RNA", at positions 748 to 1008 of the family's 1478-position model. The record is from RNAcentral.
UAGCCGUAAACGAUACUCGCUAGGUGUCGGCCACGGUGCGACCGUUGUCGGUGCCGUAGGGAAGCCGUGAAGCGAGCCACCUGGGAAGUACGGCCGCAAGGCUGAAACUUAAAGGAAUUGGCGGGGGAGCACAACAACGGGUGGAGCUUGCGGUUUAAUUGGAUUCAACGCCGGAAAUCUUACCGGGACCGACAGCAACAUGAAGGCCAAGCUGAAGACUUUGCUUGACAAGCUGAGAGGUGGUGCAUGGCGUGUGACUGU